GCCAGGCACAGUGAUGCACGCCUGUAAUCCCAACAGCUUGGGAGGCUGAGGCAGGAGGAUCACAAAUUCAAAGCCAGCCUCAGCAACUGAGCGAGACCCUGUCUCAA
RNAcentral lists this small RNA (107 nucleotides) under Marmota monax (woodchuck). The record is from RNAcentral. Lineage: Eukaryota; Metazoa; Chordata; Mammalia; Rodentia; Sciuridae.